Long non-coding RNA from Strongylocentrotus purpuratus (purple sea urchin), 614 nucleotides. RefSeq lists it as uncharacterized. Lineage: Eukaryota; Metazoa; Echinodermata; Echinoidea; Camarodonta; Strongylocentrotidae. The transcript has 2 exons. The record is from RefSeq and is a predicted model, not a curated record.
UGCGUACCGUGAAUCCUUUCUACUUUUUAUCGAUUGAAGUUUGAGAAGUUUUGAGAAGUCUUUCUAAAGAGAAUGGCUACCCCAGUCGUCAGGGCAGAUGCACAAGAUGAUUUAGUUAUGGAAUUUGAGUGUGAGGAGGAUGGCAGUUGCGGGGAAAGCGGUGAAAAUGACAGUGUCAGUGGUAGUAGUGACAGUCCGGACAGUACUGGCAGCAGCAGUGAUACCGACAGCGAUGCAAGUGAUGCAGACGCCGGAGAACACGGGCGUAUCGUCGAGUGGGAGUAUGAGCCUUUAGGCUUUACCUCGUGGUGAACCUGGGCAAAAUGUUGGCGAUGCUGGAAGGGCCAACAACGCAAAUCGGCUUCAUGAAAAUGUCGAGGAUUGGUGUACAUGUGGAAGAUGUCGUGUGCCUCCAUCUUUCAAUGAAGGUGAUUGUGUCUGUUGUCAGGAAAUUGCAGAGGUCAAGGCAGAGGCUGAUCGACAGGGUUCAAGUUGUCUGGUGGAUUCUGAGGAGUUUGAGCCGGCCAUCCUAAAUGCGACAACAUUGUACAUCGGAUGGAUGGAGUACACAGAUAGGUGGCGCCGAGCAGCCAAAGCAUUUGGGGACAGGAACA